AUGUAUUUUUACUUUUCUGGCUCCUGUCUCAUAAUUGUGUUUAUCUUUUUAAGGUUUCAGUGUGGAAUAACGUAUACAAAGACAUUUCUAGAAUGCUUGAAGAAAAUGAAAAAUACAGACUUAGGCUUAAAUGUCAAAGAUCAUCUAAUGAAAAUGCAAAUUGUACAAAAUGAAGUUUUCUGUCAUCUUCUGGUGAGAAUCCACUUGACAAUAAUUACAUUGAUCUUUCCUCUUCCCUUUUGUAUCUUACCUUCUCCAACUUUUAGUGUGUAACCCUGACUAGUUCCAUUCUAUUUUCUUCCUUAAUCCGAGGUUUGGCACAUAGGAAGAACUCAUUCUGCCUCUCUAACUGUAUUUUCUGUGUAUCUCUCAUGUCUCUUUUGUUGUCCUAGGAGUAAUUUUUCAUCCUGUUCUUUAUUUACAUAUUUUCUCUCAGAUAACUCACUAAAUUUUAUAACUUCAGUGAAUCUUUCUGGGUAUAUGAUUUAAUAUCUAUUCUACUCCUGGCUUCUGAUUUUCUUUACAAUAUUUUAAACUGAAUAUAUCAUUUUCACACUUCCUUUCAAUUGUGCCCCUGGCUUCUUAAUAACCUGGCUUCAUUCAACUCUUUGGGAGAGAUUAAUUCCAGUUUCCCAGAAUUUGAAAAGUAACAGGAGAGAUAGGUAAUAUAGGUCUUAGAAAAAGAAAAUUAGACCUUUAUAAGUGGGAGUGUGAGGAGCACAAUAUAUUUUAGAUAUGAAGAUGAGCAAAAUUUAUUGAUUCUAACAAAGUGUUUGUGGAAUGUACAGCUUAAUAAAGGAUUGUUUAAAAUAGUAAUUAAAGAACGAUCUAAAAGAAUGAUGAGAUUAUAUCAAAGAGUCUCUCUUGAACACAAGGGAAGAAUUUGUACUCUGUUCAGGAUACAAUAAAGAAACAUGGAACAUUUUCUUGACCUGUUAUUUUAAAUAAUUCCAAAUGUACAGAAAAGUUCCAAGAAUAAUACAAAGAAUGCUAGUAAUCCUCUUACUUAGAUUUACUAAUUUUUAACAUCUUGUCAUAUUUGCUUUCUCAUUUUCUCUCUGUCUCUGUCUCUGUCUCCCUCUUUGUCUCUCUUUCUCUCUCUCUCUCUCUCUCUCUCUCUCUCUCUCUCUCUCUAUAUAUAUUUACCCCCACUCCUUUAAUAUGUAUGUCCUAAGUUCAGUGCUGUCCUUUAUAAUAACUAUACCACAAUUAUCAAAUUCAGGAAAUUUAACAGUUUAAAUAAUUUAUACUUUUUAUUCUAUCCCCUGUUGUCCAAAUAUUAUCUUUAAUGGGAGUUUUUUUCCAGGUAUCAAGUCCAGUCCAGGAUCAUGUACUGCAUUUAGUUUUUGUGUCUCAUGACGGAAGGGGCAGAGAGAAGUAGGUUAGAAGUAGGGGGUCAGAAAGAGGGUACUGAGUUUUGAGGAUGAGUAAAUAAAUAAGUCACCCUCCCAAGGAAGAACUCAUUUAAUGAAUGUAUUGAGCUUUAUUUUUCUCAUGUUGAGGGACCCAGCUGGAAAUUCUAAGCAAGCAAUUGGAAGUAUUGUAUUGGAUCUGGUGUGACAAAUAUAUCCUUCAUAAACGUUAUAUUGUGGUUCUAACAGUAGCUGCAGAUAAAGAUGUCAAUGUGAGGAUGGAGAAGGAGCAGAGGAUCGAGUGCAGCAUGUCAGACAAUGUCAAAGAUGAAAAAUUUUGAGUUUCAGAGUCUGGGUUUCUAGGGAUAAUCAAGUGUACAAAGAGAUGGCUGAAGGGAUGAAGAAGGAGGCAAAUGAAGCUUACAGAUGAUCAAAGAACUGGCAGUUCAAGUAAGGAUGAAGACCUUGCUAGGUGAGAGCAAAGAGGUACAAGAAGUAGAAAGAUAAAAAUAUGUCAGUCAGGUCCAGUUUAAGAGUUCUAG
This 1894-nucleotide long non-coding RNA is filed under the name Chinchilla lanigera (long-tailed chinchilla). RNAcentral describes it as "lncRNA (ENSCLAG00000023307.1)". Lineage: Eukaryota; Metazoa; Chordata; Mammalia; Rodentia; Chinchillidae. The record is from RNAcentral.